GACCGGAGUGAACGCACCACUGGUGUUCGGGUUGUCAUGCCAAUGGCAUUGCCCGGUAGCUAAGUGCGGAAAAGAUAAGCGCUGAAAGCAUCUAAGCGCGAAACUUGCCUCAAGAUGAGUCUUCCCUGGGCCUUUAAGGCCCCUGAAGGAACGUUUAAGACUAAGACGUUGAUAGGCUGGGUGUGUAAGUGCAGCGAUGCAUUGAGCUAACCAGUACUAAUGAUCCGUGAGGCUUAACCUU
This 241-nucleotide ribosomal RNA is filed under the name Serratia marcescens. Its description in RNAcentral is "partial 23S ribosomal RNA". It matches the Rfam family "Bacterial large subunit ribosomal RNA", at positions 2690 to 2925 of the family's 2925-position model. Lineage: Bacteria; Pseudomonadati; Pseudomonadota; Gammaproteobacteria; Enterobacterales; Yersiniaceae. The record is from RNAcentral.